Molecule: long non-coding RNA, 491 nt
Organism: Glycine soja
Lineage: Eukaryota; Viridiplantae; Streptophyta; Magnoliopsida; Fabales; Fabaceae
Exons: 2
Source: RefSeq, a predicted model, not a curated record
AGUGUUGUAUAAUUGUCACAUGAACCUGUUCAAUUGUUGGCCCUACAAAACCAUGUUCCAUGGAGAAACAAUUAAUUCGGUGGAGCUAAUAAAGAUAGUACUAUACAUUGUCAGCAAUCUAGAGCUCAUGAAGGUUAAAUCAUGAGUUUUGAAGGACAAGUUCUUCAGCAACAUGGUUGCUUAGAUUCACUUCCCUAUGUUUCUAGUUUUAGUCCUUCUUUCGUAGGGUUGAAGGGAUGGUAGACCUAGCAGCACCAAUAUCGUUUCCUUGCACGGCAUGUCCAAGAAACAAGAAGCAUGGCAUUGGCAUUUGUUGUUACAAUUUAGGAAAUAUAAAAGAAUGCAAACAAGACUAGCUCAGGCAUGAAACCUUUGUCUACUUUGCUGCAAAACAAGUGAAGCAGAUGAAUUGAGUCCAUCCUCUUUGGUGCUUGAAAAAUAUGUUGGCAUUAAUGCAGUUCUUUAAGAAUACAAAUCAUUUUCGUCUAUUA